RNAcentral lists this ribosomal RNA (400 nucleotides) under uncultured bacterium. Its description in RNAcentral is "bacterial SSU rRNA". It matches the Rfam family "Bacterial small subunit ribosomal RNA", at positions 359 to 777 of the family's 1533-position model. The record is from RNAcentral.
GGGUGGCCAUGGGGGCGGCAGCCUGAUGCAGCGACGCCGCGUGAGUGAUGAAGGCCUUCGGGUUGUAAAGCUCUUUCCUUGGGGAAGAAGGUCUUCGGACUUGACGGUAGAAGAAUGACAGCUCCGUUUCAUUACCUGCCGGCAUACGCGAUGUUAGGUACGGGGGUAGCGUUGUUGGGAGUUACGGGGCGUGAAGGGUGGGUGCGUGUCCCGUGUGAUGAGAUGUGACUCCCCUCAACUUAAGUGCUGAAUUCUAUUUGAGACUGCUGGACUUGAAUGUGGGAGAAUUUAUUGUAUUUCAGGGUGAUGCAAUGAAAUGCGUAAAAAUUGAGAGGAACAAUAUUGGUAAAUGCGAUUGUCUUGACGAUAACUUACGGAAAACAUAGGGUAGCUAAAGGAG